GAUGAACGCUGACAGAAUGCUUAACACAUGCAAGUCUACUUGAACUUCGGUUUGGGUGGCGGACGGGUGAGUAACGCGUAAAGAACUUGCCUCACAGUUAGGGACAACAUUUGGAAACGAAUGCUAAUACUUGAUAUUAUGAUUUUAGGGCAUCCUAAGAUUAUGAAAGCUAUAUGCGCUGUGAGAGAGCUUUGCGUCCCAUUAGCUAGUUGGAGAGGUAACGGCUCACCAAGGCGAUGAUGGGUAACCGGCCUGAGAGGGUGGACGGCCACGAAGGGAACGAAACCUCGCCCUUACUCCUACGGGAGCCAGCAGUGGGGAAUAUUGAACAUUGGACCAAAAGUUUGAUCCAGCAUUUGCUGUGUGCAAGAUGACGUUUUUCUUAAUGUAACGUGCUUUUCAACUGGGAAAAAAAAAUGACAAUGCCAAAAGAUGAAGUGAAGGGAAUGCCGUGCACCCUGCCCCCAGAUCU
This 472-nucleotide ribosomal RNA is filed under the name uncultured Prevotella sp. Its description in RNAcentral is "bacterial SSU rRNA". It matches the Rfam family "Bacterial small subunit ribosomal RNA", at positions 28 to 523 of the family's 1533-position model. The record is from RNAcentral. Lineage: Bacteria; Pseudomonadati; Bacteroidota; Bacteroidia; Bacteroidales; Prevotellaceae.